Molecule: ribosomal RNA, 253 nt
Filed under: uncultured bacterium
Lineage: Bacteria
Also listed under: 1 other name
Description: partial 16S ribosomal RNA
Rfam family: Bacterial small subunit ribosomal RNA
Source: RNAcentral
UACGGAGGGUGCGAGCGUUGUCCGGAAUCACUGGGCGUAAAGGGCGCGUAGGCGGCCCGGUAAGUAGGAGGUGAAAUCCUGAGGCUCAACCUCAGGGCUGCCUUCUAAACUGCCAGGCUUGAGCACAGUAGAGGCAGGUGGAAUUCCCGGUGUAGCGGUGGAAUGCGUAGAGAUCGGGAAGAACAUCGGUGGCGAAGGCGGCCUGCUGGGCUGUUGCUGACGCUGAGGCGCGACAGCGUGGGGAGCAAACAGG